AGAGUUUGAUCCUGGCUCAGAUUGAACGCUGGCGGCAGGCCUAACACAUGCAAGUCGGGCGGUAGCACAGAGAGCUUGCUCUCGGGUGACGAGCGGCGGACGGGUGAGUAAUGUCUGGGAAACUGCCUGAUGGAGGGGGAUAACUACUGGAAACGGUAGCUAAUACCGCAUAACGUCGCAAGACCAAAGUGGGGGACCUUCGGGCCUCAUGCCAUCAGAUGUGCCCAGAUGGGAUUAGCUAGUAGGUGGGGUGAUGGCUCACCUAGGCGACGAUCCCUAGCUGGUCUGAGAGGAUGACCAGCCACACUGGAACUGAGACACGGUCCAGACUCCUACGGGAGGCAGCAGUGGGGAAUAUUGCACAAUGGGCGCAAGCCUGAUGCAGCCAUGCCGCGUGUAUGAAGAAGGCCUUCGGGUUGUAAAGUACUUUCAGCGAGGAGGAAGGCAUUAAGGUUAAUAACCUUAGUGAUUGACGUUACGUGCAGAAGAAGCACCGGCUAACUCCGUGCCAGCAGCCGCGGUAAUACGGAGGGUGCAAGCGUUAAUCGGAAUUACUGGGCGUAAAGCGCACGCAGGCGGUCUGUUAAGUCAGAUGUGAAAUCCCCGGGCUCAACCUGGGAACUGCAUUUGAAACUGGCAGGCUUGAGUCCUGUAGAGGGGGGUAGAAUUC
This 670-nucleotide ribosomal RNA is filed under the name uncultured bacterium. RNAcentral describes it as "bacterial SSU rRNA". It matches the Rfam family "Bacterial small subunit ribosomal RNA", at positions 8 to 669 of the family's 1533-position model. The record is from RNAcentral.